This 379-nucleotide ribosomal RNA is filed under the name uncultured bacterium. RNAcentral's name for it is "bacterial SSU rRNA". It matches the Rfam family "Bacterial small subunit ribosomal RNA", at positions 434 to 793 of the family's 1533-position model. The record is from RNAcentral.
CAGUAGGGAGGAAGGUAGUGUAGUUAACACCUGCAUUAUUUGACGUUACCUACAGAAGAAGCACCGGCUAACUCCGUGCCAGCAGCCGCGGUAAUACGGAGGGUGCGAGCGUUAAUCGGAAUUACUGGGCGUAAAGCGCAUGCAGGCGGCCUGUUAAGUCAGAUGUGAAAGGACCCGGGGCCGUUAACCGUACGGUAAAGUUGCUAUUUAGUAAACGUAGGCGAGGCUAGAGUCUUGUAGAGGGGGUAGGAAUUUCAGGUGUAGCGGUGAAAUGCGUAGAGAUCUGAAGGAAUACCAGUGGCGAAGGCGGCCCCCUGGACAAAGACUGACGCUCAGAUGCGAAAGCGUGGGGAGCAAACAGGAUUAGAUACCCUGGUAG